Molecule: ribosomal RNA, 385 nt
Filed under: uncultured Nitrobacter sp.
Lineage: Bacteria; Pseudomonadati; Pseudomonadota; Alphaproteobacteria; Hyphomicrobiales; Nitrobacteraceae
Description: bacterial SSU rRNA
Rfam family: Bacterial small subunit ribosomal RNA
Source: RNAcentral
AGCGAACGCUGGCGGCAGGCUUAACACAUAAAAGUCGUACGGGCGUAGCAAUACGUCACUGGCAGACGGGUGAUAAACGAGGUGGAACGUACCUUUUGGUUCGGAACAACCCAGGGAAACUUGGGUCAAUACCGGAUAAGCCCAUACGGGGAAAGAUUUAUCGCUGUAAGAUCGGCCCGCGUUUGAGGAGCUUGUUGGUGAAAUAACGGCUCACCAAGGCGACGAUCAGUAGCUGGUCUGAGAGGAUGAUCAGCCACAUUGGGACUGAGACACGGCCCAAACUCCUACCGGAGGCAGCAGUGGGGAAUAUUUGACAAUGGGCGCAAGGCUGAUCCAGCCAUGCCCGGUGAGUGAUGAAGGCCCUAGGGUUGUAAAGCUCUUUUGU